RNAcentral lists this ribosomal RNA (347 nucleotides) under uncultured bacterium. RNAcentral describes it as "partial 16S ribosomal RNA". It matches the Rfam family "Bacterial small subunit ribosomal RNA", at positions 338 to 682 of the family's 1533-position model. The record is from RNAcentral.
CCUACGGGUGGCAGCAGUGAGGAAUAUUGGUCAAUGGACGGAAGUCUGAACCAGCCAUGCCGCGUGCAGGAUGACGGCUCUAUGAGUUGUAAACUGCUUUUGUACGAGAAUAAUAGUUCUUACGUGUAGGGAUUUGAAUGUAUCGUACGAAUAAGGAUCGGCUAACUCCGUGCCAGCAGCCGCGGUAAUACGGAGGAUUCGAGCGUUAUCCGGAUAUAUUGGGUUUAAAGGGUGCGUAGGCUGUCGGAUAAGUUAGAGGUCAAAUGUCUGGGCUUAACCCCGGUACUGACUGUGAUACUGUUCGAAGAGAGAGCGGAAGCAGCAGGCGGAAUGAGUAGUGUAGCGGU